RNAcentral lists this ribosomal RNA (411 nucleotides) under uncultured soil bacterium. RNAcentral's name for it is "bacterial SSU rRNA". It matches the Rfam family "Bacterial small subunit ribosomal RNA", at positions 63 to 519 of the family's 1533-position model. The record is from RNAcentral.
CGAACGGUCCGCAAGGACAGUGGCAGACGAGGUAGUAACGCGCAGGGAGAUCCCCCAAAGUCAGGGAUAGCCAGCCGAAAGGUUGGGUAAUACUUGAUGGUCCCGUAAGGGUAAAGAUUUAUCGCUUUGGGAGUCACCUGCGUAAUAUCAGCUAGUUGGUGAGGUAAUGGCUCACCAAGGCUACGACGUUUAGGGGAGCUGAGAGGCUGACCCCCACCGAUGGGACUGCGAUACGGCCCAUACUCCUACGGGAGGCUGCAGGCGAGAAUAUUCCACAAUGGACGCAAGUCUGAUGGAGCGACACCGCGUGAUGGAUGAAGUGCUUCGGUACGUAAACAUCUUUUAUCGAGGAAGAACUAAUUGACGGUACUCGAUGAAUAAGGGGCUCCUAACUCUGUGCCAGCAGCCGCG